UUCAUGUACCGGGAUUCAUUCAUUCUGAUUCUCUGCGAUCGCAGAGCACGUGUUGACGGAGGGGUCGCGACAGUCUACCCCUCCACCCUCUAAAGCGAUGAUAUGAUGCGUCAGGUGUAUAUGGUUGCUCGAGAACUUGUGACAGGUGUUUCGGUGGGAAAAGAACUUUAGGGUAUAUAAGAAACGAGACGGAUUAACAUUUUCCAUGAAGAAAUUCGGAGAUCGACAUGAUGGCUCAUGGUAAGAAAACUUGUUGAAAUUAUAAGGUAUUUCUUUUCUCUUAAAAACAUUGUUUAAAUAAACACUUUAUGUAUUCUCAGCUUUAAAAGUUCAAGCUGAAAUUCACCAGGUGCCUGAGUAUCAGGUUACAGCGGAAGAACUAGAGGGUAUUAGCCUCACUCAGACGGAUCCAGAUUUUACACGCGGAAUUAAUCCUGAUGAGUUUGCGAGAGGAUCGGGAAGCGACAGUCUUCUGAUUUGGAUUUGAUUCUAACUGGGGCUUCGCCAGCGAUCUCACGAGAUCGCCGCGUUCCCUCCUCUCCUCCGAGAAGCGGAAAUGGCGUAAUAGAAAUAUCAACAACUCUGAGGCCGGUGAGGCCGCAAGUCGCGAGCGUGACGCCCAUCUUAAAAGCCUGUGACGCGCCUCAGCAAGCGAAGAGACGGAGAUUAGUCAGUAAGACACCGUCGCUAGUGAAGCGGUUAUUUACAGAUUCAGUCGAAUCACCCACAUGGUCACCCACAUGUUCAACCAGGGAAGGGGGUCGUGGAUCUCAAAGCGUGAUUAACGAGACCGAAGUGGAGACAAAAUCGGAUAACGGCCCAGAACCGAAUCAGGAAGCAGAGCGAUGUCGGAGAGAGCGCCAGAGUCCCACUAGACCUCUGUUUAAGCGCAGGUUUCCUCAACGACGGAAUAACGCCAACGUCUCUAACCAGGAAGCCAGACCUGAACGGGUCCGUCGGCUGAGAAUAGCGCCACCUCUCCGCCAGCACCGUGACAGCGGAAUCUUGCGGCUCGCAACCUGAUUCGUGACUACAGCGCCACGUUUUCUAACGCGUGUGAAAAAGGUUUUGUGUGAAAGGUUGGAAUGCAUGUCCGUGUCGAGCUAUAUUUUGAUGUUGUGAAUUCAUGUUUUUGAAUGUAUGUUAGCAUCAGGGAAAUAUUUCUUACGUUGUGAAUGCUGGGUUAUAGAUAGGGGAAAAUUAUAUAAUAAAAGUGUGCAAGAAAAAUAAAAAAAUCAUUUAACCCUGA
Molecule: long non-coding RNA, 1249 nt
Organism: Pangasianodon hypophthalmus (striped catfish)
Lineage: Eukaryota; Metazoa; Chordata; Actinopteri; Siluriformes; Pangasiidae
Exons: 6
Source: RefSeq, a predicted model, not a curated record